GAGAAAGUAAGCAAGGGCAGACGGUGGAUGCCUUGGCUCUCGGAGGCGACGAAGGACGUGAUAAGCUGCGAAAAGCUCGGGGGAGGCGCAAAUAGCCGUUGAUCCCGGGAUAUCCGAAUGGGGCAACCCGGCAGGCUGAAGGCCUGCCAUUCCGUAAGGGAGGCGAACGUGGGGAACUGAAACAUCUAAGUACCCAUAGGAGGAGAAAAUAAACAAUGAUUCCGUAAGUAGUGGCGAGCGAACACGGAAGAGCCCAAACCCGUGUCGUCUAGGCGAUACGGGGGUUGUAGGACCACGACGUGGCAAGAUAGAGUCAAGUGGAACGCCUUGGAAAAGGCGGUCAUAGAGGGUGAAAACCCCGUACACGACUGACGAUUGAAGCCUAGUGGCAUCCUGAGUAGCGCGGGGCACGAGAAAUCUUGCGUGAAACAGCGGGGCCCAUCCCGUAAGGCUAAAUACUCCCGAGAGACCGAUAGCGAACCAGUACCGUGAGGGAAAGGUGAAAAGAACCCCGAGCAGGGGAGUGAAAUAGACCCUGAACCCGUCUGCCUACAAGCGGUCGGAGCGUCGUAAUGACGUGACGGCGUGCCUUUUGCAUAAUGAACCUACGAGUUACCUUCCCCGGCAAGGUUAAGUUCUUGAGGAACGGAGCCGAAGCGAAAGCGAGUCUGAACAGGGCGCCAAGUCGGGAGGGGUAGACGCGAAACCGAGUGAUCUACCCUUGGCCAGGUUGAAGGUUGGGUAACACCAACUGGAGGACCGGAUGGGUAAGCGUUGAAAAGCUUUCCAAUGAGCUGAGGGUAGGGGUGAAAGGCUAAUCAAACUCGGAGAUAGCUCGUACUCCCCGAAAUGCAUUUAGGUGCAGCCUCUUUAUAGUAUAUCGUGAGGUAGAGCGACUGAUUGGAUGCGAGGGCUUCACCGCCUAUCAAGUCCAGAUAAACUCCGAAUGCGCGAUAUAUAUUUACAGGGAGUGAGGGCGCGGGUGCUAAGGUCCGUGUCCGAGAGGAGAAGAAUCCAG
RNAcentral lists this ribosomal RNA (1018 nucleotides) under Parabacteroides distasonis. RNAcentral's name for it is "partial 23S ribosomal RNA". It matches the Rfam family "Bacterial large subunit ribosomal RNA", at positions 1 to 1030 of the family's 2925-position model. The record is from RNAcentral. Lineage: Bacteria; Pseudomonadati; Bacteroidota; Bacteroidia; Bacteroidales; Tannerellaceae.